This 29-nucleotide non-coding RNA is filed under the name Mus musculus (house mouse). Lineage: Eukaryota; Metazoa; Chordata; Mammalia; Rodentia; Muridae. The record is from RNAcentral.
UAACAGUCCACAAUCUUGCCAUGGUUGCA